GAUGAACGCUGGCGGCGUGCCUAAUACAUGCAAGUCGAGCGAACGGACGAGAAGCUUGCUUCUCUGAUGUUAGCGGCGGACGGGUGAGUAACACGUGGAUAACCUACCUAUAAGACUGGGAUAACUUCGGGAAACCGGAGCUAAUACCGGAUAAUAUUUUGAACCGCAUGGUUCAAAAGUGAAAGACGGUCUUGCUGUCACUUAUAGAUGGAUCCGCGCUGCAUUAGCUAUUUGGUAAGGUAACGGCUUACCAAGGCAACGAUGCAUAGCCGACCUGAGAGGGUGAUCAGCCACACUGGAACUAAGACGCGGUCCAGACUCCUACGGGAAGCAGAAGUAGGGACUCUUACGCAAUGGGCGAAAGCCUGACGAAGCAACGCCGCGUGAGUGAUGAAGGUCUUAGGAUCGUAAAACUCUGUUAUUAGGGAAGAACAUAUGUGUAAGUAACUGUGCACAUCUUGACGGUACCUAAUCAGAAAGCCACGGCUAACUACGUG
RNAcentral lists this ribosomal RNA (497 nucleotides) under uncultured bacterium. RNAcentral describes it as "partial 16S ribosomal RNA". It matches the Rfam family "Bacterial small subunit ribosomal RNA", at positions 28 to 507 of the family's 1533-position model. The record is from RNAcentral.